RNAcentral lists this small RNA (107 nucleotides) under Klebsiella pneumoniae. RNAcentral's name for it is "partial RtT sRNA". It matches the Rfam family "RtT RNA", at positions 26 to 130 of the family's 130-position model. From Rfam's summary of the family: This family represents a bacterial cis-regulatory element known as RtT RNA. The exact function of RtT is unknown although it is thought that it may be involved in changing the cellular response in relation to amino acid starvation. Lineage: Bacteria; Pseudomonadati; Pseudomonadota; Gammaproteobacteria; Enterobacterales; Enterobacteriaceae. The record is from RNAcentral.
GAAGCUUCGACCAAGGUUCGACUCGAGCGAAGCGAGAGAACGUUGCCGCAGGCAACGGCCCGAAGGGCGAAGCGCUUUAGCGCCGAGUAAUCCUUCCCCCACCACUG